RNAcentral lists this ribosomal RNA (126 nucleotides) under Staphylococcus arlettae. The record is from RNAcentral. Lineage: Bacteria; Bacillati; Bacillota; Bacilli; Caryophanales; Staphylococcaceae.
UACUAUCUAGUUUUGAAUGUAUAACUUACAUUCACAUACAUUGUCUGGUGACAAUGGCAAGGAGGUCACACCUGUUCCCAUGCCGAACACAGAAGUUAAGCUCCUUAGCGCCGAUGGUAGUUGGAU